UUCAUUCACCUCUGCUCUUGC
This 21-nucleotide microRNA is filed under the name Mus musculus (house mouse). RNAcentral describes it as "mmu-miR-12187-3p". The record is from miRBase by way of RNAcentral. Lineage: Eukaryota; Metazoa; Chordata; Mammalia; Rodentia; Muridae.